CUGCGGGUGAGCAGAGCAGUCCCUUCGUGGUCGCCAACUGAAACGAUACGCGGAAUAAAUAGACUCCAUAACCUGGGGUAGUUAUGAAGUGGACGUUCCAUAUGCAAAACACUGCACGACUUUUUCAUGCAUAUUCAACCCCUGGCCCCGCCUGUCCUCGCUUCUCAUGCUAAGUAAGUCCACGCCCUUCUGGGCAUGCGUGGUUUGCUGUGGUGGUCGUACGGGUGUCUCUUGGUGGUCCUGAGGCUGAAGAUUGUGGUUUUCCUCAUCAUUGUACUUUUGAACUUUUCCUCUCUGCGCAUGCGCUUUUAGUCCUUUGGUGCUUAUCUGAGUACGUCUGUCAGUCUUGAUAGGCUUGGAGACAGAGGAGCUUCUUUAUCUGGGUUCUUUGCUUCUUCUGGUAUUGUUCUUUAUGCAAGAAGCUUCAGAAAUUUGCAUUUUCCUUUGCCCUUUGUAUUAGGCAGAGGUUUCCUAAGCAAAAGGUAGAAAAUUCAACACAUAACUAUACAAGCUAAAUUAUAAAUGCUUAAUUCAUUUUGAUAACCUAAUUCUAAAAAUCUCUGUUUCACCUCGAGAGCUGUCACAGAGCAGAAGGGCAGAUGAGAGGCUGAAAAGCAGCAAAGCUGAACAGCCUGCCUCAGCUUCAGCAGUGUGCAAUUGACUGAAGGCGAAAAACCAAGCAGCAGAGCAGCAGGCUUCUGUGCGCACUGAAGGCAAUUGCAAGCAUGCAGCAGCUGCUCCUUGCCAAGCACAGGCAGCUGCCUAGGUUCUUGGUUCUUGACCAACUCACAGUUGCCCUUCUUUUCAGCAGCUGCCACCGUGUUCUCUGCAUCUCGCAGCCUCUGGGGAGCAACAAGAAUUUCCAAGGUGGGAUGCAUGACGACUAUGGCAAAACCCAGGAAAGUUGUCCUGGAACACCUUCCAUUGGCAUGCCAAGACUGAAUUCAACAGGCAGGAGAGCAGCAGCCACCGUCCUCCAGCUGUCUGCGAGCUUCGCACACAAGCCGGCUUCUUCGCGGCUUCGUUCUUCGCCUCUUGCAAGCUACCGCCAUCUCCGGCUGCCGGAGGACAAGAAGCGGCUACUUUGCGCACAGAUCACUGGAGCGGCAGCGGUGCGCUCCGGAGCGCCGCUUCUGCCGAAAGACUCCGGGAAGCGGCACUUGCUUUCGGCCAGCUCCGGAGCUGCGUAUUCUGCCUCUCUAGUCGCCUACAUCUUAGCCAAAAGCUUUUCCGCUCCAGUUCUCAAGGAGAAAGUGUACCAGCACUGCUCACUUAGCCCGACCUUGCCAAGAAAUAAGAUUUGCUGCACAUUCCAAGGACACUGCAUUUUCCUGGGCAAGCUGCAACCUUCUGGCAGAUGGCUGUGCUCUCUGCCCACUCCUGCCCAGUUCUUGGUACUAGCGGGCACGUUGCAGCCUGGCGAAGGCAAGAAACCUCUGAAACGAUACGCGGAAUAAAUAAAUAGACUCCAUAAGCUAGGGUAGUUAUGAAGUGGGUAUGUACGUCAGCGCCCGGCACAAGUGAGAUAGCUCUCCAAAACUUGUGCCCCGAGCCUCAGUCUGACCCACACUUUUAUUCUUAAAGACGUUCCAUAUACAAUACACUGCACAACUUUUUCAUGAGUAUUCAACCCCUGGCCCCGCCUGUCCUCGCUUCUCAUGCUAAAGCUGUCACAGAGCAGAAGGGCAGAUGAGAUGCUGAAAAGCAGCAAAGCUGAACAGCCUGCCUCAGCUUCAGCAGUGUGCAAUUGACUGAAGGCAAAACACCAAGCAGCAGAGCAGCGGGCUUCUGUGCACUUCUGAAGGCAAUUGCAAGAAUCCAGUAGCUGCUCCUUGCCAAGCACAGUCAGCUGCCUAGGUUCUUGCUUCUUGACCAACUCACAGUUGCCCUUCUUUUCAGCAGCUGCCACGGUGUUCUCUGCGUCUCGCAGCCUCUGGGGAGCAACAAGAAUUUCCAAGGCGGUGUAAGAGCCCGUCUGAAGCCCCUCAUUUUCCAUUCUGCCUUCUGAUUGCCACGAGAAAGAAUCCCUUCCUCCACUGCAGUUCCGGCUUAGAACAGGACACAGUGCAGUGAUUCAAAUGGACUUCUUCUUCAUUGGAUUCGUCUUGCUUUGGUGGUUUCUGUGGACUCACCUGUUCCCGCGUGGCGAUUACAAUGGACUUUCAUUGUUACACUUGCUCCCCCCUCUUUCCUCUGUGGACUAUAACUGGAGCCCCGAGUCGACCAGAACUUCGGAGACUCCCCCGACACGACAGACGGAUCCCCAUCGUCCGGACUACUGAGGAUCUCGCCUGUGUUGGUAGCUAUUCCCAUACCCCUCUUCUCUCUCUCUCUCUCCUUUUAUCUCCUUUCCGAUCCCCACUAUCGCAUUUACUGUUUUGGCCCCUAAUAAAGGUGCAUUUGUUGUGAUUAA
Long non-coding RNA from Vidua chalybeata, 2413 nucleotides. RefSeq lists it as uncharacterized. Lineage: Eukaryota; Metazoa; Chordata; Aves; Passeriformes; Viduidae. The record is from RefSeq and is a predicted model, not a curated record. The transcript has 4 exons.